GCUAGGCAUGGUGGCACAUCCUUGCUGUCCCUGCUUUUGGAGAGGCUGAGGCUGGUAGAUCACUUGAGCUUGGGAGUUGCUAAAUUGCUAAAGCAAUUAUAGGUCCUCACUAAGCCUGGCACCAGUAUGGUGAACCCCUGGGAUCAGGGGCCACAAGGCUGCCUAAAGAGGGACAAACCAACCCAGUUCAGAAAAAUGGAGCAGGUCAAACCAUCCAUGCAGAUCAGCAGUGGGAUCAAACCCAUGAAAGCAUGAUAUGCUUCUAGACUGGGUUAGAGAGAAGACUCAGUCUUA
Molecule: non-coding RNA, 294 nt
Filed under: Phascolarctos cinereus (koala)
Lineage: Eukaryota; Metazoa; Chordata; Mammalia; Diprotodontia; Phascolarctidae
Source: RNAcentral